Molecule: long non-coding RNA, 9922 nt
Organism: Ooceraea biroi (clonal raider ant)
Lineage: Eukaryota; Metazoa; Arthropoda; Insecta; Hymenoptera; Formicidae
Source: RefSeq, a predicted model, not a curated record
AUCCACCAGAAGCAUCUACCGCCGAUAUCAGGAUCUACGACCAUAUCGGUACAAGGCCACCCCAAGUCCUCUCCACCCGCAUUCCAUCGCACAGAAACGGAAUUUCCUUGGGGGUCGCGGGAGAAAAUGAACAAUGAGCGAAGCAAGAGGAACGUCAACCGGCAAUUAAAGUGAGUCGCGAUUUACCCGCCAGGAGAUCGAAUCUGGUUCUGCUCCUCUCGCUGUCCUCGUAGCCCUCGAGGUCGUCCUCGUAAUCGUCGUAAUCCUCGGGGACGGGGCGCCGGUCCCCGUCCUUGUCGCUGGAGUUUCGCGAGAGAUUGUUGCCGAGCGGACCCCUCUGGGCGGCCUGUCGCACGCGGGCCUGAUGAUCAUUACUAAAGAAGACCGACGGCGGCGGCGGCGUCGACAGCUGAGAGCCCUGAAGGCGACGCUGAAGAUACCGGGCCAAGAGCGCCUGUACCGCGUCUCUCUCCGCCGUGCCUGGAAGACAGAAAGAGAGACUCGCUCUCGUGAUCAGUCGACUACAUCCUCCCGAUCUUAUCGUAUCCCGCUCGGUCCUCGUAUCCGCAUUCUUAUAAUCUCAUCCUCGCCCUCGUCUCGUCUCGCUCUCUCGCCGUCUAUUUCUCUUCUCUUGCGAUUUUAUUUACUUAUUUUUUUAUCAUGAAUUUCUUUUUUCUUUUUCUUUCUCUUUGUCUCUCUCUCUCCUUCUCUGCGGAAAGAGCUCGAGGAUCAUCGGCGAUCGAGGAAUUCUUCUUCUUGCGUCAUGUGCAAAAUGCAUCGCGUACGUAUCCUCGUACAAGCGUAAGGAUAUGAGCGAUCUACGCCCCGAUGAGAAGCGGGUUGGGCAGUGGGUGUGAUCCCUCGUAUCCGUGUCAGAGUGGCAGAGAGAUCGAUAGCAGAUUGACGUGGGUCUUUUCGUUAGUUCCGGGAGGAACGAUCGCAUCCGGGAUGAUCUCGGAUAUCCACAAUUGGCGUAGAAUAAAAAUCGCUCUGGAUCUCGCGGGAGAAGUUUAUUCUAAGAGUCGCAAAAAUUGUCAAAAGUCAACGCCGCUGAAUCUCAAAUCCUAAAUUUCAUUGUAGAAAAUAAGAGCAAUGACGUCAGGAAUUCUUAGUCACUGAAUGAAACAAGAUUCGUCGAUAAUUUGCGUAAAAAUGUACGUGCGAACGUAACCACGUUCACGUAACAAUGAUUUGAAAUGUAAGAUACACAAGAGGAGAUAUUCAAAAUGACAUGUAGAGAGAUGAAAGCUGCGUUUGCCUUCAAUUUCAACGUAUAUCGGUGAAUGCAAACUCGGGCGGGCACGCUGAUAAUAUGGAAACAACAUACGGCGGAAUACUCGAGUCCAGCAGGACACUUGAUUAGAGUGGACCUGCCUGCAUUUGAUGUUGAAGAGCGCUUGCGAAUCAUCGUUCAGCAUCAAUGUGUGUGUGAUUCCUGGCUGCAUCGACGAGAUGGAAGGAUUCACAACUACUUGAUGUCGCAUUGCGUAAGACAUACUCAACAUGCAAGCGUCAUCGAUCGUGCAUAGAAACGAAACGAGUUUAACUUCGUUAGCUUUUUAAUUAAGUAAAUCGUUCCUGCAAGUUUGCGACGUGUCUUUUGAGAAUUUUAAAUCAAUACGAUGAACAUUUUAUGUCAAGACUCGUUCAGCUCAUCAUUUUCCUUUGAGAAAAAGUUUUUAGAGUUUGGAAUAUACAUGUGCUUCUAGUAUAAAUAUUAUACGGAGAUGUUUUAUAUUUGUAUUAAAUAUUAUACGAGGAAUAAAUGAUAUUUGAUAAUUUAAGAUUUGUUUCAGAAUAUAAAAACCGGUUAUGCAAGUUAAAAUUAUAAGAUGAUUUUAAGUAUUAAAGAAGAUUUAAUUAUUAUAUAUAUUCUAGCAGCUUUUAAAUUAAAGUUAGAAAUUACUGCAUAUUACGCACAUAUUAUGAAGACCAGCAAGUUACUAAAUAAAUUCCCAUAUGCCAAGUAAAUUCUGCCAAAAGAGUUAAAGAUAAACGUAGGAACGAAUGAUUAACGGCGCGGUAGACUGGACAAAGUCGCGGGAGUAGUUGAGGAUUUGUGGCAGCGAGAAAUCCAAUUUUCGGCAAAGUCCAGAACCGAGAACGAGCACAAUUAUAUCGAUCUCUUCCUGCAAACUCGUUCGCUAGCGUGGCCGUCACGUAAUUGCAGUGGAUUAAUCCUAUCGCGCGGAUUUCAUCGAUUCCUCCCAUGCUUUUUUACCACAAUCCUUCUUGCUGGGCGGAGACAGCCAUCAGAUUGUUAUUCUGGACAGCGGCUUCGUGUAAUUAAAUUGCACAGGCGAGCGCUGAUCCUAUUAUGAAAAAGCACCUAAGCAAAACGGCGUGAAACGAGCAACGCGCGCGCUCUGUUUUCUCGUUAUAUUUCGCGCGCGAGCUGGGAAAUGCACGCUCGGCUUGAUCGCAAAGGAUCAACCUUCCGACACAGAGUUGAUGCCCUGGUAAGGAUUUUCAGAAGAGAGAGACAGAAGCGAGAGAGAAAGAGUGAGAGAGAGAACUACUGCCGGGAUCUUUUUGCUUCGCGGAUCUUGUUAGCCUUGCUUUAGCGCGCAAGCUAAUUCGACGAGCAUGCUUUAAAAACAUUGAUCAUUUAUUUUCGUAUAUGCAUGCUACUGAUAUUUAUAUUUAUCGAGCAAUUAAUAAUAUUAUUUUUUAAUCUGAGAGUAUGUAAUAUUCAAUCCGAAAUGACGGAAAUUUGACGGAAUAUUGCAAUGAAUGAUCUGCAUUGAUGCGAAACGCAUCGUAUAUUUUUAUUUGAAAGUCGUAUGAUUUUAUGUGAAAUGAAUUGCGAUGUUAAUUUAAAUGGUAUUGAUAGAUUAUAUAGAAAGAGCUGUUAAAAAUACUGAUCGAGUGCUUGGAAAAAGCGUUUGAAAAACAUCGAACACAACCAAACACAUACGAUAAUAACGUAUCGUCCCGAAUUUUCCGUAUUCAGUUUGAUGUAAAAACCAAACAUGCGAUCAAAGCUAAUAUUUGGCGCGUGUAACGACAAUUAGGAAAAUUCUCGUACGUGUUUCCGCAAGACAACACAUAACGCGUUGUUCGAUAUCGGAAAAAUAAUAGAAUGUCACGUUUCAAAAUGUUCCUGCCGCUAUCGUUUCCAUUUAUUUUCAACGGAAAAAGGUCUGCAAGUAAUCGUGCCUACGGUCUAAAAAAUAUUUUGCCAAAUAAAUUUUGUUCUUUAUUGCAGAGAAGUUAUUUCGCGAAGCUAUUGGAUCUUUAUGAUGCAGCCAACUACGCGUCCGAAAAAUCAAUCAUCGAAAUUGCGAAAAUGAUUGAAAUCUCGUAAAUCGUAGUUUCUCAACAACGAAUCCGAUCGAGAGGUUGGAGCAAGUGAAUCGUGAAAUAGAACUGAAAGGCGUAAAGAGCGUCAUCGGGCGAUUGGUUGCGCGGGAUAGAUGCUCUCACGGGAGAAAAAUUCUUCGCGCAUUUGUAAGAAAAAGCACGAGAAAGAUCGCGGAAAAGCGCGGGUCAUGCCACGCAAUAAAUCGGGAGGAUUUCCUCGCGGAUGCAACGCGAGAUUCGCUCUAAGAAGAACUUAGCGGUCUCCUCGAGCGAAGAUGCAAAUCCGCGAAAAACCACCAUUGGCGUACGGAUUUCUUCGUGAACCGGAAUCCAAAAUGUCCUCUCAGACACAGAACAGAUUUCAUGCGGAACCGCAGAGGAUAGGUAUCAAAGAAUUCGCAAAGGAGACGAUCGAACGAGAAAUUUUGGCCGGUUUGUAAGAAACAAGCAAAACAUUUCCAAGAGAAGGUGCAUCUUCUCAUCUUAUUUAAAGGAAUUUAUUUCGGACAAGAAUAAAGCGACACGAAGUGCGCGUUGCCAGGAAAUGCGAAAUAUUUUCUUCGGAAGAAAAUUAUCUCAGCUGAGUACCCGCAGCGUCGCCAAAGACCCGCUCAGAAAGAAAAAUUCAGGAUAUUCCCCCGAACCGAAGUACAAAGAAAGCAAAAGAAUUUGGGAAUUGUCUAGCCAAGUUUGACAGAUUAGAUAAGGUUGGACGGUAACGUUGCAUGAUUCGGUUAUUGGAUUCCUUUCAAAAAAGUAAAUGUACGUAAGUGAGUGAUUAUAUUUGGAAUUUAUUUCUCUUAAGAGUUUCUUUAAUACAUUUUUAUAUAAAUUUUUGUCAUAUAAGAAUAUUACAUGUUUAAAGCAUAUUAAUAUAUAACGAUUCUUUAGCAAGCAUGAAGAAAAUAUGUUUCUAUUACAUUAAUCAGAUUUUAUAUUAAUCAACAAAUAAUUCGUCUCGAUAAUUAUAGUUCUGCUUCUUGUUGUGCAUACAUUUAAUUAACAAAUUAUAUUAAAAAUUUGUAUCAUUGACAGUUAUAAUAAUUCCCUUUUCUCAUCAAAAUGGAUAUUAAUCUUUGUCAGAGACUCAAUGAAAUCUCUAGAAAUCAACUCCAAAGGAAUCAACAUGUCAAAAUUCAAGAUCAAAUGCACGGAAACGCAAUCGAGAAAAGAUUACAAAGUCCGAGUGGAAGUCUUUCUAAAAUUGCUGGACAGUGAAUCUAGCAGGAACUCGCGCGCGUCUAGGAACUCCUACGAUCAGAAUCCCAAUUCGGCCGGAAAAUUCGACGGAAAACGUUCCGCUUUCCAAGGUCAGUAUUCCGCUCGAGCGAAUUGUCGACUCGUCGUCAUCAUCUUUCUCUCUCUUCCUUUCUCUCUCUCUCUCUUUCUUGAUAUCUCGAUGUCCGAAGAAAUCGUUACGGCCGACAGCCGGAGAAACGCGAGUGUCACUAGAAGUGAUUUAAGCUUUACACUACCGAGAGCUCGAGAGAGAGAGAAGCCACGCGUUAAAAUGGAAUGCAGGCUAUAAUAUCCGGCGCGCCCGAACUGAUUUGCAAGUUUCACGUCCGUCGUCCAGGUCCAGGCCGUCGUGGCGCGCACAGAAACCUCAGGCUCCUUCUGCAAUUCAUCUUGUCCCAGCUUCAUAAUUCAAUGACUUUCGGAAGUACGUUUCCUCCGAAUUAUUUCCUCGAUGGGCCACCUGAAUGUUUUAUGUGAUUUUAAGACAGCCGCGCUACCGUAACUGGCGAUAGCACGCGAUGCGCUUUUACCGUAAUUGGAUCUAAAUUCUGGAACAGAUGAGCGGAGUCUAAUAAAAGCUCCGCCGCUCGAGCACGAGCUAUUAUUGUGUCGGAAUCAAUGUUAUCCUAUUAUAGCGAGUUAUAAGGAUGGUAUUGAAGAACGCCAGCGAUACGAAAUAAUUUACCGCGCGCGACGAUAACACCACUGCAACGAUAUGAAAAGGAAGACGAACAAAAUAGAAAGAUAUUCGUAGAUAGAAAAUUAUAAAUACGAGUUGAAAAUAUUUAAUAUUUCGCAGUAAAUAGUAAAAUUACCCAAUAAUAUUGUCCACAAACAACAUACACACACAUAUGUGGAAUGGAGACAUGUAUUAUAAGCGUAAAUAAAAUAUAGAGAUACAUAUGUAAAAUUUGAAAUAAUUUAUUUUAAAUUAAAUGUAGCAUUUGCAUAUCCGUUGUCACUAAUUUCUUUUUCUAUAUGACAUAGUUCAAUAAAGAUGGAACGUGUGCGCUUUGCUUUAAAUUUGCUUGGAUGGCAACUGGAAAAAGCAGCACGGGCGGUUCGUACUGCUUGACUUGCAAAGAGGAAAAUCAAGCCGUUCGAUUACCUGUUCCAACGAGGCGCAUUCAUAUGAAUUUCGUUUCAAUCGUCAAUGUGGACUUCAACUCUAUCGAGUACGAAAUCUCUCGCCUUAAAAUAUCGUAAAUUUUACGGGAGAGAUAUGGACCAAGCGAUAGAGAUGUUCGUAACGUGCACAUAUUUAAUAUCCUAUUACAUACACGUUACGAUAAUUAAUAUGCACGUAAGUAUCUGCAUAAUCUACAGAACAAAGUCUAUAUCUGGUGAUACACUUAUUGUGAAAAUAUUGAAAUGAAAAUAAAACAUCAUGCUCAAUUUCACAAUUUACUCUUCAACCGGAGUUUAACUCGUUAAUGAAGAAUUCAUACUUCGUCCGAUGUCCGAUGUAUGACGUUCAAUAAGAGAGUUCGUUUUCUAGAGAUUCUACACGUGACGUAUUGUGAAUUCUCCAUUAACGAGGUAAACUCCGGUUAAAGUAAGUUGUGGAACUGGGCCUAAAAAAAAAUGCACACAGAUAUUUCUUUAUUACAAUCGAUGAUACCGAUACUCUACACCUUUGUGCAAAAUGGUGCAGGUGCUCGUCAAAGAAGACGCGGCGUUUUCGCGGAUUUCCUCCAAUGAUAUGGAUGCGAUGCGAUGGAUUCAAAUGCAAUCGCUGAGACCGGCUGAAACGGGCCAUUUGCUUUGAAAAUGAGCGGAGGAGUCGACAAACGCUGAUGGCAAUGUUUGGAUGUGUACUUUUGGGAGGUUUUCCCCGCGAGAAAAGCACAGUGUUUCGAGAUUUAUACGGCGUAAAUAGCGAAAGAUCCUGUGUAAACGCUGGCGUUUCGUAUAUACGUGAGUUCCUGUACGUGACAAGUGCCUUAAGUAAUGGUAAACAGUGGCGGCGCAUCGUACACGGGAGUUCGGCUUCGAGGCACGUUCUCACCGUCAAUACAGCGACGCUGCUCAUAAAUGUCUUUCUAAAUCUUCCGCGCGAAAGAACCGGGAAGCUAAUCCUCCCGUGUUGGCCGGGAUGUAGUGCAAUGUAACGAGAUACAACGGGAGAGUUACGUGGCAAUUAAGUCUCGCGCAUUGACUCGAAAGCUAUCUAAAUACAUGUAACACAUUUGAGCCCUUUAUCAUGCAUAAUCCUCUGUUUAUAAUAUUUCAUCCUGAAAAACAUUCAAUUAAUUAUUUAUUACAUAAAUGUAGAAGAGCUAAAAGUGUAAAAUGAGAAGCGUAAGAAGGAUUUAAGGAUUUGUCCUUUUGUUUCAAAGAUUUAUUUAAGCAAAGGAGGCAGAGAAAGAUGUCCUCGCUUUUCUUCAAAAAUUCUUUUAGCGAAUGUUACUUUUAGUUAUGCUCGUUGUAAUGUUUGGCGAAGAAGAUUGCGCAUCACGGGUCCUCUACCGUAAAGACCGGUGUAAGCAUAACUGCUAAAACGGAAAGUCCGCCAAUAUAUCAGCGCGAUGGUGCUUCCGAGAGAAAGUGUCUGUCUGCCGCUAGUGCGACCAUUCUUCUGAUAUACCGCCCCCAUUUCGCAGUUUGACGGGAAAGAAGCGGUAGAGUGGCUCGAAUGCGACUGACAAUAAUUUGUCAACUCGGCCACUCACGACUUCUUACGUCGUUCCUUUGGACAAAGAGAAUUCCGUCGGAAGAGCGGAGAUUUCCCGUCUGAAUUUCUUGCCGGUCGCGUUUCCACGCGACGACACGAGAUUUCAUAAUUGCGCGAGUGCAUUACAGGAGUGUCCCAGGCUUCCUGAAAUUGCACGAUACUCCGAGAACUCGGCGAAAAAUCCAGGCGAGAUGCAUCGAGAGCCUUCAUGAGCUAUUUCGGCGCAAAGUGCAUUUGGCAAAGAGCAAUAAUCGGGAUGGCCGUUCGCUUGUAUUAUCGUAAAUUUAUUGAACGUGCGUUUUUAUUGUCAUUAUUUUUUAUUUGUGCAUUAAAUCUUCUAACUUUAUUGCAGCGCUUUCUUUAUGCUUCUACAGAAAAGAAAAUUUAAAAUUGUAUGUCUUGCGUUAAUAAAAUUGAACGAAAACUUUUUGAAGAAAGCAUUUAGAGAUCGAUUUUAUAAUUUUUGAAUUUCUUCUUACUGCUUUGCACUAUUAUACAUUAAUCCAAAUCGCAUAAUUUCGAUUUCUUUUAUAACACUUUAUCAAGAGUGAGAGGGGGAAAGAGAGAGGGGAGGGGGAGAGAGAGAGAGAGAGAGAGAGAGAGUAACUGACAUUUGUAUAAAGAUAAAAAUUAUAUUAUAGAUGGUUCUAUUAAAUUGAUUGCCUUGCGCUGGAUACCUUCUCGAGACUCGAUAUUGUUACGUAAUGCGGCUUUCGAUAGACGCAACCAUUCGAACACGAACGAAUAGCGUUUCCUAAUUGGCAGCUUUUUUUCCGCAGUAAUUGGGAGCUGUCGGGGAGCUUCUCCGCGAAGAGACCUCGAAUGGGAAAGAUGUGAAUUGGAAGAUAGAGAGAGAACCAUCGGCAAUAAAAUGGAAAAUAUUUUUGCGAGAAAUGGAAUCAGCAGACUGAACCAUAUGAAACAUACAUAUGUUAUAAAUUAUUCUUGUGACGCGUAAUAAUUUAAAUCAUGUCUGACAGAUCAACUCACGUAUCAUUGAAAAAGUUUUUUUAAAAAUCCAAUCAUCGACAUUUCAUUUUUGCGGAUUAAGGUAUACUUUGACGUAUGCUGAUUUCAUUACUGUGUACGAAAUAUUGGUUACUACCUUUAAACAAGUGGCAUUUAUAAUAAUUAUGAUAAAUCAAUGUAUAAUAAAUAAACGUAAUUGUGUCGCGUUUAUUUUUGUAAAUAAUUCUCAUUUGUUGUAACGCAGGAAAUAUUUUUUCUAUUCGUAUAAAUAAAUCUCUCGGUUGCACGUUUGAAUGUACACGAUCGAAUAAAACAUGCAUCACCCGACGACGUUUCAUGAUUUCAGAAAUAUCCGUGUCCAUAAAACCCCCAUGAAACAUUAAUGGUGAUCGUGGCGUCCGCCGAGCGAUUUAUUCAUGCGAGACGUCGAUGUGCACCGAGCACAUCAAAUGUUUAGUCUCCAAUAAAAAUUCAAUUUUCAAUCUUCUAACGCGUUGCCUUAGCUAUGCGGCAGAGAAGCGGCAGUCCAACGGUCGCCAAAGUUUGCAACCCCGCGGCAAAUUACACCACCGUUCGCAGUGUAAAUGUUUGAACUACUGCGGCUGCUGCUGCGCCACGCAUAUGCGCUCCAUGCGAUGUAAGACAUUGUUCUAAUGGUCUCGAAAUUUGAACAGAAAGUUACGACAGUCUCGCAGAGAUCCCUUGAAAGCUACGCGAGAUAAAGCUCGUGUCGCCGGAAGCGCCGUGCGAUUAUCGACAGUCCCUUGAAUGCUUAUAAUUAUUACACGGUUCAGCAUCGCAUUAUAGCAUCGCUCAAGUGAAGUGGCAUAAUUAAGAAAAGAGUGAUAUGACAUUUAUGCAAGCUUUUUACAUUUAUAUUUAAAGCUAUUGAACGAGUAAACCGUCGGCAGUUUGUUUACGUUCAUUUUCUAUUCUCUUUAAGGUUCAACUCGAGACAUGCGUGAGCGUCAUUGAAUUAAUUUUUUAUUAUAAGAGAUGUCUAUGUACAGCACAGUAAACUAGCGAUAAAGCAUUAAAGAAUUGCUGGCAAUUACUUAUUUACAGAAAAUUUACGGCUGUAUUUGCCGUGCAUCAAUCUGCUCUCUAAUUAAUUAACGUAACAUGACGUGGAGCUCAUCAAUAUGGCACAAUAGAGAAACGACGAAAGUAGUGUCGAACAUUUGGACAAAGUUACGAAAGUUCGCUUAGAACUUUGCGAAGAGAUGAGCAUCACGGGCAACUUUGUGGCUCCAAAUUACCUAAAAUACGAAGUACUUCCCGAGACUGUGUAGCUUCCUGUAUAAUCUACGUCAUUCAUGUAAUGUAGCGUCACAUUAUGCGCGAAAUACGUUAUACUAUGUAGGAUGCAACUGUUACCGUCACGGAGUACUUCAAAGGACCGCUUGCCAGUACCAUCUGAUUGCAAUUUAAACGUUAUUACGCUACGGUGCAAGAUACGUACACAUAUUCAAAGCUUUUAAUAGUUUUUAAAAUUCUAUAUCUGAUUCUUAUCUGAAUAAACUCUAAAAUUUUCGCACGAUCGUGUCAUAUAUCAUUUUCGAAAUAAAUCAUUGUAUGUUUGAUUUAAAUAUUAUCUAUCGGUAUUUCAAGUAUCGUUUAAAUAUCUUCACAUUCUAAUUUUAUACCUUGAAUUAUGGUCCAUUAGUAGUAUAAAAUAAUUGUCCACGAUUUUGCCAAAUGAUAUUUUAGAAAUAAAUCAGUGUAUAUUGGACGUAA